RNAcentral lists this ribosomal RNA (455 nucleotides) under uncultured organism. Its description in RNAcentral is "bacterial SSU rRNA". It matches the Rfam family "Bacterial small subunit ribosomal RNA", at positions 346 to 794 of the family's 1533-position model. The record is from RNAcentral.
GCGCAGCAGGCGAGAAUUUUUCUCAAUGGGGGCAACCCUGAAGGAGCGACGCCGCGUGGAGGAUGAAGGUCUUCGGGUUGUAAACUCCUGUCAUUUGAGAACAAGGCACGCGUGUUAACUGCACGAGUGUUGAUAGUAUCAGAAGAGGAAGGGACGGCUAACUCUGUGCCAGCAGCCGCGGUAAUACAGAGGUCCCAAGCGUUGUUCGGAUUCAUUGGGCGUAAAGGGUGUGUAGGUGGCGCCGUAAGUCGGGUGUGAAAUCUCGGGGCUUAACUCCGAAACUGCAUUCGAUACUGCGGUGCUUGAGGACUGGAGAGGAGACUGGAAUUCAUGGUGUAGCAGUGAAAUGCGUAGAGAUCAUGAGGAAGACCAGUGGCGAAGGCGGGUCUCUGGACAGUUCCUGACACUGAGACACGAAGGCCAGGGGAGCAAACGGGAUUAGAUACCCGUGUAGU